This 251-nucleotide ribosomal RNA is filed under the name uncultured prokaryote. RNAcentral's name for it is "partial 16S rRNA". It matches the Rfam family "Bacterial small subunit ribosomal RNA", at positions 525 to 775 of the family's 1533-position model. The record is from RNAcentral.
ACGGAGGUGGCAAGCGUUGUUCGGAUUUACUGGGUGUAAAGGACAUGUAGGUGUCCUGCUAAGUCGGGUGUGAAAUCCCUUGGCUCAACCAAGGAACUGCAUCCGAUACUGACAGGAUUGAGUACGGGAGAGGUAAGCGGAAUUCCGUAAGUAAGAGUGAAAUCUGCAGAUAUACGGAGGAACACCAUUAGCGAAGGCGGCUUACUGGUCCGAUACUGACACUGAAAUGUGAAAGCUAGGGGAGCAAACAG